RNAcentral lists this ribosomal RNA (484 nucleotides) under uncultured bacterium. RNAcentral describes it as "partial 16S ribosomal RNA". It matches the Rfam family "Bacterial small subunit ribosomal RNA", at positions 30 to 507 of the family's 1533-position model. The record is from RNAcentral.
AUUGAGCGCUGGCGGCAGGCCUAACACAUGCAAGUCGAGCGGAUGAAGGGAGCUUGCUCCUGGAUUCAGCGGCGGACGGGUGAGUAAUGCCUAGGAAUCUGCCUGGUAGUGGGGGAUAACGUCCGGAAACGGGCGCUAAUACCGCAUACGUCCUGAGGGAGAAAGUGGGGGAUCUUCGGACCUCACGCUAUCUGAUGAGCCUAGGUCGGAUUAGCUAGUUGGUGGGGUAAAGGCCUACCAAGGCGACGAUCCGUAACUGGUCUGAGAGGAUGAUCAGUCACACUGGAACUGAGACACGGUCCAGGCUCCUGCGGGAGGCAGCAGUGGGGAAUAUUGGACAAUGGGCGAAAGCCUGAUCCAGCCAUGCCGCGUGUGUGAAGAAGGUCUUCGGAUUGUAAAGCACUUUAAGUUGGGAGGAAGGGCAGUAAGUUAAUACCUUGCUGUUUUGACGUUACCAACAGAAUAAGCACCGGCUAACUUCGUG